RNAcentral lists this long non-coding RNA (546 nucleotides) under Homo sapiens (human). RNAcentral describes it as "HSALNT0022244". The record is from RNAcentral. Lineage: Eukaryota; Metazoa; Chordata; Mammalia; Primates; Hominidae.
GGGAUGGGAGCUCCCCGUGCUGCUGCAGCUGCCCAAACCACAGCUGCAGACCCAGGCCUCCUGCUCUAUAGAGCAGACAGGAGCCCCGACCGGGGCUGCAGCAGCGCAAACUGCAACUGUGGAUCCGAGCCUCCCUGUGCUCUUGGGGGAGCUGGGAACAGCAGCAGAGAUGACCUGCUAGCAGAGAGGAGCUGCUCUGUCUGCUGAGAGUUUCAGACACCUACAGAGACAUCUGAAUGACUUGCCUGCAUGGAGGAGCCACCCUCUCCAGGACCUCCUCUCUGCUGGGAGCUGAACAUUCGACAGGAUGACCUGCCUACGGAGAGGAGCUACCCACUCUUCUGAGCUGUUCUAUCACUAAAUAAAACUCUUCUUCACCCUUCACUUGUCUGGAUGCAGGACAAGAGCUUGGGCAAAGGCACCAUGGCCACAGAGGUUUCCAGUCAAAGAAAUCAACGCUCCAGAGAUCCCGUAACAUUUUGGUUCCUUGAUCUUGGACUUCCCAGCCUAGAACUGGGCGCUUCAAGGUCAUUAUUUGGAACUCAG